Molecule: ribosomal RNA, 468 nt
Filed under: uncultured bacterium
Lineage: Bacteria
Description: partial 16S ribosomal RNA
Rfam family: Bacterial small subunit ribosomal RNA
Source: RNAcentral
GACGAACGCUGGCGGCGUGCUUAACACAUGCAAGUCGAACGGAAAGGCCCUGCUUUCGUGGGGUGCUCGAGUGGCGAACGGGUGAGUAACACGUGAGUAACCUGCCCUUGACUUUGGGAUAACUUCAGGAAACUGGGGCUAAUACCGGAUAGGAGCUCCUGCUGCAUGGUGGGGGUUGGAAAGUUUCGGCGGUUGGGGAUGGACUCGCGGCUUAUCAGCUUGUUGGUGGGGUAGUGGCUUACCAAGGCUUUGACGGGUAGCCGGCCUGAGAGGGUGACCGGCCACAUUGGGACUGAGAUACGGCCCAGACGCCUACGGGAGGCAGCAGUGGGGAAUAUUGCACAAUGGGCGGAAGCCUGAUGCAGCAACGUCGCGUGCGGGAUGACGGCCUUCGGGUUAUAAACCGCUUUCGCCUGUGACGAAGCGUGAGUGACGGUAAUGGGUAAAGAAGCAACGGCUAACUACGUG